Molecule: ribosomal RNA, 433 nt
Filed under: uncultured bacterium
Lineage: Bacteria
Description: partial 16S ribosomal RNA
Rfam family: Bacterial small subunit ribosomal RNA
Source: RNAcentral
AGCGAACGCUGGCGGCAGGCCUAACACAUGCAAGUCGAACGAACCUUUCGGGGUUAGUGGCGGACGGGUGAGUAACACGUGGGAACGUGCCUUUAGGUUCGGAAUAACUCAGGGAAACUUGUGCUAAUACCGAAUGUGCCCUUCGGGGGAAAGAUUAAUCGCCUUUAGAUCGUCCCGCGUCUGAUUAGCUAGUUGGUUGAGGUAAUGGCUCACCAAGGCGACGAUCAGUAGCUGGUCUGAGAGGAUGAUCAGCCACAUUGGGACUGAGACACGGCCCAACCUCCUACGGGAGGCAGCAGUGGGGAAUCUUGCGCAAUGGGCGAAAGCCUGACGCAGCCAGGCCGCGUGAAUGAUGAAGGUCUUAGGAUUGUAAAAUUCUUUCACCGGGGACGAUAAUGACGGGACCCGGAGAAGAAGCCCCGGCUAACUUAGU